This 283-nucleotide long non-coding RNA is filed under the name Mytilus galloprovincialis (Mediterranean mussel). The record is from RNAcentral. Lineage: Eukaryota; Metazoa; Mollusca; Bivalvia; Mytilida; Mytilidae.
GAACGAAUAUCAAAGAUACAAUACAGAAAUUGGACAAAAAUGUCAUUGCAACUAAUUUAUUUGACAAAUAAACACUAGCUUGUACUGCAAUGCAUGUAAUAGUAUUCGCCUAUACCAAUUUUAUACAAAUUAAGUCAUCUCACAGGCCUCCAGAUUUUUUGGAAAAUUUAGUGUUCACCCUCAAAACCGGUUUGGCCACAACAUUAAAAAUUCAAGUUUAUUUACUAUUUUGACAGUGUGUAUAUGUUAAGUAUGUUUAAAUGAACAUUUGUUCCCAUAGUUU